RNAcentral lists this ribosomal RNA (304 nucleotides) under uncultured bacterium. RNAcentral's name for it is "partial 16S ribosomal RNA". It matches the Rfam family "Bacterial small subunit ribosomal RNA", at positions 506 to 807 of the family's 1533-position model. The record is from RNAcentral.
CAGCAGUAGCCACGGGAAUACGGAGGGUGCAAGCGUUAAUCGGAAUUACUGGGCGUAAAGCGCACGCAGGCGGUCUGUCAAGUCAGAUGUGAAAUCCCCGGGCUUAACCUGGGAACUGCAUUUGAAACUGGCAGGCUAGAGUCUUGUAGAGGGGGGUAGAAUUCCAGGUGUAGCGGUGAAAUGCGUAGAGAUCUGGAGGAAUACCGGUGGCGAAGGCGGCCCCCUGGACAAAGACUGACGCUCAGGUGCGAAAGCGUGGGGAGCAAACAGGAUUAGAUACCCCGGUAGUCCCUGUCUCUUAUAC